Molecule: long non-coding RNA, 941 nt
Filed under: Lupinus mutabilis
Lineage: Eukaryota; Viridiplantae; Streptophyta; Magnoliopsida; Fabales; Fabaceae
Description: partial ncRNA
Source: RNAcentral
UCCGAUUAAAUCUUCCUGUUUUCUCUGGAAGCUCUUCAGAAGGCGUAUUCCGGUAAAAGUGGAGCUAGCUCGCCGGAACGUGAUGGGGGAUGCAAACUUGGACUGCACUUUCUGCAUUAACAACGAAUAGAACAUUGAUCAUCUAUUCAUCUUUUGUCCUUUUUCUAUUUACAUGUGGAUAGAGGUAUAUUCGUGGCUCCAAAUCCCUUUUGCUAAUUAUAUCUCUGUUGAUGAAGCCUUUGCGGACUUCACUUCUAAGAGUCCAUCUCAGAAAGUUUCUCAUCUUUGGCAUGCAAUUUGGGUUGCUGCUGUUUGGUGGAUUUGGAGAACUAGGAAUGAUGUAAUAUUUAACAGUAGGAAAUUUAGUAUCUCUCAUAUUAGUCACUGUAUUAAGAUGUCAUCGUGGUUAUGGCUAUCCAAAAACCACAAUAGGGAUAUAAUUUCAUCUUUUGAGGAUUGGAGUGUAGAUCAUCAUCCUUGCUUUUCGAAUCUUUGUAAUCUGUAAUCUGUUUUAGGCUUGCUCCUUGUGAGCCUUUGUUUCUUUUUAAUAAAGUUUCUAUCUCUCAUCGGAAAAAAAAAUAAACUUUGUCUAGCCAACACAUAUGUCUCAUCUGAACCAUCCUCUAUGACACCACUUUUUGGGACAGCGGAAACAAUCAUUGUGGAGUGUUAACUAUAAACAAUAAUAUAAAGUACAUAGAAUAAAUAGAAGAGAACAAACAAGAGAAUUUGUUAAUAGGGUUCGGUCAACUGUACCUACGUUCUCGAGGGCGUUGUGCGACUACCAAUAUAUUAUUAGAGAAUAAGGAUUACAAAUUCUAAUAUACCCAAGGACCCAAGUGCCUAUAUAGUGUUUCUAUUCAGUGCUUCUAUUUGGUUAUUUCAUUUUUUCCUAAAGUGGAUAAAAUUCUAAUUAAAUCAGACAAGCGACAAUAACCAAU